CCAGGCGGUAAGAAGCAGCCUCCUGUGUUAAAAGUAUUUGAAGGUGAUUCGAACAAAGAGUGAGAGAAGACUGGUGGAGAAGGAAGAGACCAGACAAUAAGAGCCUUAAGGUGUUGGCACUUAAUUUUAGGGGCAAAGAGAAGUCAUGACACAUUUUAAUGAUCAUGUUUGCAGUUUAGUUCAACAGGGGGUGGGGUGGGGACUGGAGAGAAUUUAAGCAAGAGAUCUUGAUCUGUGAAUGACAAUAGGGAUGGAUAAAAGUCAGAUGGGAUGAUAUUUAAAUGGAGAAUUAUCAGCAAUUGCAGAUAGAGCGGAAAACCCAACAAAACUUUUCUUUCCCCAUUUCUCCUUCCAGCUGGCGCCCCAAAUGCCGUCCCAUUUCCAGUUCCUUUCUUUCACUGCAUUCCACGAUGCUCCACCAAUGCUCAGCUCGGUCAUUUGGUUUUCUGGUGCACUCCUCUUAGAAGUUUCCAGUGGCCUGGAAACUACAGUCCUACGGGGACCGGAGGGCUGUGGGCACCAGUAGUUUGCAUACAGCCCUGCCAGCAGCACGAAUAAAUGACCUGCCCAAUACCCCAAAGCUGGUGUGUUACAAAGUGCAUAUUUCAAAUCCAGCUUUAGGGAUUUUUCAAUAACACUUCAUUGCUGCUUCCCGAUGUUAAACAAGAGAAAGUUAAAACAAAAAAAAAGACAGCAUUACCCAAAAUACAGUGUCCUGAGCAUAGCAACGGAAACAACCAGAGACCCCAGACAGUCUGUCAGGUCUUGGUCUAGGGGUACUAGUGCUCCAAGUCCGAGGUCAGUCCCAGAGAAUGUGAAGUGCGCAUGUGCUAAAGGUCCUAGGCUCGCCCCAUCACAGGGGCGGAGGAAGGACAGUGCGCAUGUGUUGAAGGUCUGAGGUCCGCCCCGGAAGAGGUGGGGAAGGGGCCUAAAAGCAGAGGUUUGGUGCCAUCUGUUAGCCUAAACAGCCCACGUUCUGUUAGCGGAACCCAUGCAAUGGACGAUCCCUUCAUUACACCUAGGACCGCUGCCUUACGGCUCCUCCGUAAGCACUACAUCUUUGGAUUCCCCGAGGGCCAAAGAGAACACGGGACCGGAAGCGCUGACUCCUCCCGUCGUAUUUCCAGGGGCAGAGGAAGAUGGCGAAACCCAUUGGCUAGUGGGGAUCAGAAGAGGGCGGUUCACUCGGCCUGCGCGUGGGGCACUAUGGGUAUUGUAGUUCAGGGCUCCGCGGUCCAGCUUGCAGCGAGGAAUCUUGGAAGCCAGUGGGUCCAAGCUGGCCAGGGAAGCGCCUUGCACGGGGGCAUUAGGUGUGAAGUAGCUGCAGGGGUGUGUCUUCGUUCUGCUCUUUCUCUUUCGGGUGAGGCCUCACUCUGUCUCGCCUUCAGGGGCCUUCACUUCAUCCCAUACUUGAGGCUACUUUAUAAGCCCCAGUCACCUACAGAUUAUCCCUUACGAUUCCAAGCUGGUCUUGAGUUCCUCUUCUCGUCUAUCUCCCGCACAUCCAGGCCCUGGAAUUCUUCUCUGUCCUUUCUCCCGUUUGAGAUGAUGACUCUUGGCUAUAAGGACAGUAGACCUGACCUGAGUGAAUGAUGAAUGAUUGUGUCUCUGUGUAUCUGAGAGAGAGAAGGAGAGACAAAGAAGGAGAAUAUUAAUGUAUGAGUAGGCUGUGUCCCACUCAAUUUUGCUCUGUUAAAGAGUUAAAAGUGGAUAGUGUAUACCUACUUAAGGUCAGGUGGUGAUAGUAGGAAAGAAGAAUAGAUUUGUAAGCAAAACAACACUGGAAAAGAUUAAAUUUUCAAACUACUUGCUUUUUAUGCAUUUCCAGUUUAAAACCCACAAAACAGACUAACUUUGAGUAUGGUUAAUUAAAUUAACCUCUUAAACUUUAAGGUGGUUUUUGAUUCAUAGUAUGGAAACCUGACCUGCCUCCUGAGAAAUCUGUAUGCAGGUCAAGAAGCAACAGUUAGAACUGGACAUGAAACAACAGACUGGUUCCAAAUCGGGAAAGGAGUAUGUCAAGGCUGCAUAUUGUCACCCUGCUUAUUUAACUUAUAUUCAGAGUACAUCAUGAGAAAUGCUGGGCUGGAUGAAGCACAAGUUGGAAUCAAGAUUGCCAGGAGAAAUAUCAAUAACCUCAGAUAUGCAGAUGACACCACCCUUAUGGCAGAAAGUGAAGAACUAAAGAGCCUCUUGAUGAAAAUGAAAGAGGAGACUGAAAAAGUUGGCUUAAAGCUCAACAUUCAGAAAACUAAGAUCAUGACAUCUAGUCCCAUCACUUCCUGGCAAAAAGAUGGGGAAACAAUGGAAACAGUGACAGACUAUAUUUUUGGGCUCCAAAAUCACUGCAGAUGGUGACUGCAGCCAUGAAAUUAAAAUAUGCUUACUCCUUGGAAGAAAAAUUAUGACCAACUUAGACAGUGUAUUCAAAAGCAGAGACAUUACUUUGCCAACAAAUGUCCAUCAAGUCAAAGCUAUGGUUUUUCCAAUAGUCAUGUAUGGACAUGAGAGUUGGACUGUAAAGAAAACUGAGCACCAAAGAAUUGAUGCUUUUGAACUGUGGUGUUGGAGAAGAGUCUUAAGAGUCCCUUGGACAGCAAGGAGAUCCAGCCAGUCCAUCCUAAAGGAAAUCAGUCCUGAAUAUUCAUUGGAAGGACUGAUGCUGAAGCUGAAAUUCCAAUGCUUUGGCCACCUGAUUUGAAGAACUCCUUGGAAAAGAUCCUGAUGCUGGGAAAGAUUGAAGGCGGGAGGAGAAGGGGACGACAGAGGAUGAGAUGGUUGGAUGGCAUCAUUGACUCAAUGGGCAUGAGUUUGAGUAAGCUCUGGGUGUUAUUGAUGGACAGGGAGACCUGGCGUGCUGCAGUCCAUGGGGUUGCAGAGUCUGAUACGACUGAGCGACUGAACUGAACUGAACUGAUAGAAACGUAUAGAGAAGGAAAUAGCAACCCACUCCAGCAUUCUUGCCUGGGAAACUCCGUGGACAAACGAGCCUGAUGGGCUACAAUCCAUGCGGCCACAGAGUCAGACAUGACUGAGUGACUGAGCAUGGCAACUUUAACUUAGUCAUUUACUUUUUCAUUUACUUAGUCAUUUACUUGUUUCAAAAAACCAUGGGAGAGGCAAUCGUUUUGGACAAUCGCCACAAUUUCCUGCUUCAACAGUGCUUGGAUGGAACUUGGUGCUUGUCCCUUGCCUUGGCCAGCUGCUCAGAGUCAGCCCUCACUACCACCCACCCAGAGCCCUCGACCCACCCCAGGCCCCCACCUCCACCUCUCAGCCACCUUCCAGGAUGACUGCAUCUUCUUGCAGAUGCUGCCUGGACUACUGCCAGGACUCGGAGGAUGCCAUCAACUACCCCACUGGAGCUGUUUGCCUGCUACAUCUGUGUCAUACUGUUUUGACUGUGAUGAUGUGGCUUUGAAGAACUUUGCCAAGUAUUUUCUUACCAAUCUUGUGAUGAAAGGGAACAUGCUGAGAAGCGAAUGAAGCUACAGAACCAGUAAAGUGGCCGAAUCUUCCCUUAGGAUGUUAAGGAAUUAGACCUUGAUGACUGGGAGAAUGGGUGGAGUGCAAUGGAAUGUGUGCUACAUUUGGAAAAAAGUGUGAAUUAGUCACCACUGGAACUGCACAAACUGGCCACUGACAGAAAUGACCCCCAUUUGUGUGACUUCAUUGGGACUCAUUACCUGAAUGAGCAGGAGAAAUCCAACAAAGAACUGGGUGACCGUGUAACCAACCUGUGCAAGACGGGGGUCCCCUGAGUCUGGCAUGGCAGAGUAUCUCUUUGACAAGCACAUACUGGGACACCGUGAUAAUGAGAGCUAAGCCUUAGGCUGACUUCCCGUAGUCACAGGGAUGACUUCCCUGGUCAUCAAGGCAGUGCAUCUGUGUUUGGGUCAUAAUACUUAAGUUCUUUCUUUAGUACCAUUCCUUCAAAUAAAGUAAUUUGGUAUGCCACCCUCCCCUCACACCCCCAAAGGAAAAAAAAAUGUGAGAAAAAGAUUUGUGAAGUCUGUGUGCCAAGUCGCUUCAGUCAUGUCUGACUCUUUGUGAGGCAAGAGUACUCUGUCCAGGCAAGAGUACUGGAGUGGGUUGCCGUACCCUCUCCAGGGGACCUUCCCGACCCAGGGAUUGAACCUAUGUCUUUUAUGUCUCCUGCAUUGGCAAAUGGAUUCUUUACCACUAGCACUGCCUGGGAAGCCCUUCAGAAGUCUGUGCUUAAUCACUCAGUGGUGUCCAACUCUUUGCGACUCCAUGAGUAUAGCCUGCCAGGCUCCUCUGUCCAUGGAAUUGUCCAGGCAGGAAUAUUGGAGUGGGUUGACAUGCCCUCCUCCAGGGGUUCAGUCCAACCCAGGAAUUGAACCCAGGUCUCCUGCAUUGCAGAUGGAUUCUUUACCAUCUGAGCCACCAGGGAAGCCCUCAGAAAUCGAAAAUGUGUCAUUUGAUGGAUGCCCUGGUAGAUCUGCUUUAGAGAAUGAGUUAAUAAUAUCUCAUAUUAAAGUCUGACUUCAACCAAGCUUUUAAAAAACUUGUGGUUGUAGAACUUCUAGAAUCUGCUUACUAUGUCCUUCAAAGCACGAUGUGUGCUUUAUUGUGCUUCUCUUAAAAAGAAAUGGUUAAUGAAAGCUGAAGGUUAACACUUAAAAGUAGACAGUGAUAAUGGAUAAUUGACAGUUGAUCAUGGAGAAGGAAAUGGCAACCCACUCUAGUAUUCUUGCCUAGGAAAUCCCAUGGAUGGAGGAGUCUGGCAGGCUACAGUCCAUAGCGUUGCAGAAGAGUCAGACACAACUUAGUGACUAAACAACAACAAAUGUGUAUGCCAUGGAUAUUAGCACAGAACCUCUUUCAACAAUGUCAUAAAAUCUAACAUCUGUUGUAGGAUAUUGAGUUUCAUGCUGCCUUUUGUUUACAUUGAAUUUUUAUUUUGAACAAUAGGCAACAAGUGACUCAGCAGUGAUAUUGAUUCAAAGGCCAUGAAUCAAUUCAAUGAUUUGCUGGUUAAAUCUUGAACAAUCAGUUCUCAGAAAAACAAAGAGAUCUGGUUUAUAGUGUUUCCCAAUUGCCUUGUAUAGAUUCUCCACUGUGGUCUAUUCCAAGUGACCAAAUGUGAUGUCACUGAAUGUGGAGUUGGAAAGGCACAUGUACACCAUUUCUGAGAGCCUGUAUGAGCCAGCUCCAGGAGCAAACUCCCAGAGAUAGUGAAAGACAGGGAAGCCUGGAGUGUUGCAGUCCAUGGGUUGCAAAGAGUCAGACAUGACGACUGAACAACAAUAGUUAAAUAGAAAGUGAGCCUUGAGUGUUUACCAGUGUUCCAACUGGUUAGUUUUUAGUGGGUAUUUCCAUGUUGUAAUGACUUGUCUUCUUAAUAAACCUUGUAUAACCUAUAGGAUUCAAUAAUUAAGAUUCUCAUGUAUAUCAUAUAAAGUUCCCUAGAGCUGUCCUAAGAAAGUAAAUAAAAAUCUUAGCAAUAUUUC
RNAcentral lists this long non-coding RNA (5474 nucleotides) under Bos indicus x Bos taurus (hybrid cattle). RNAcentral describes it as "lncRNA (ENSBIXG00000026635.1)". The stretch from base 3143 to 3178 matches the Rfam family "Iron response element I". Lineage: Eukaryota; Metazoa; Chordata; Mammalia; Artiodactyla; Bovidae. The record is from RNAcentral.